GACGAACGCUGGCGGCGUGCUUCAUACAUGCAAGUCGAACGAGAAGCUGACUUCGGUCAGUGGAAAGUGGCGGACGGGUGAGUAAUAUGUAGGAAAUCUGCCUUUAGGAGGGGGACAACAGAGGGAAACUUCUGCUAAUACCCCAUAUGAGCGUAGCUGAAAUGCUAUUCUUGAAAACUCCGGUGCCUAAAGAUGAGCCUGCAUCUGAUUAGCUAGUUGGUAGUGUAAUGGACUACCAAGGCGACGAUCAGUAGCUGGUUUGAGAGGAUGAUCAGCCACAAUGGGACUGAGACACGGCCCAUACUCCUACGGGAGGCAGCAGUAGGGGAUUUUGCGCAAUGGGCGAAAGCCUGACGCAGCAACGCCGCGUGAACGAUUAAGCCCUUCGGGGUGUAAAGUUCUGUCAGUGGGGACGAAACUUGACGGUACCCACAGAGGAAGCACCGGCUAACUCCGUG
This 458-nucleotide ribosomal RNA is filed under the name uncultured bacterium. RNAcentral describes it as "partial 16S ribosomal RNA". It matches the Rfam family "Bacterial small subunit ribosomal RNA", at positions 28 to 507 of the family's 1533-position model. The record is from RNAcentral.